RNAcentral lists this ribosomal RNA (503 nucleotides) under uncultured bacterium. RNAcentral describes it as "bacterial SSU rRNA". It matches the Rfam family "Bacterial small subunit ribosomal RNA", at positions 36 to 518 of the family's 1533-position model. The record is from RNAcentral.
CUGGCGGCGUGCUUAACACAUGCAAGUCGAACGCGAAAGGGAACUUCGGUCCUGAGUAAAGUAGGCGCACGGGUGAGUAACGCGUAGAUAACCUGUCUCAUGUCUGGAAUAAUACGCCGAAAGGGGUACUAAUACCGGAUAUUCUUGCUUUUCAUAAGUUAUGCAAGCAAAGGUGGCCUCUGCAUAUGCUACUGCAUGAAGAGGGGUCUGCGUACCAUUAGCUAGUAGGUGGGGUAAUGGCCUACCUAGGCGACGAUGGUUAGCGGGUCUGAGAGGAUGAUCCGCCACACUGGCACUGGAACACGGGCCAGACUCCUACGGGAGGCAGCAGUGAGGAAUAUUGCGCAAUGGGGGAAACCCUGACGCAGCGACGCCGCGUGAGUGAGGAAGGCCUUCGGGUCGUAAAGCUCUGUCAAGAGGAAAGAAGUGUACAAUGGCUAAUACCUGUUGUAUUUGACGGUACCUCUAAAGGAAGCACCGGCUAACUCCGUGCCAGCCGCCGC